AUACGGAGGGUGCGAGCGUUAAUCGGAAUUACUGGGCGUAAAGCGCGCGUAGGCGGUUUGUUAAGUCGGAUGUGAAAUCCCCGGGCUCAACCUGGGGCCUGCAUCCGAUACUGGCAGGCUAGAGUCUGGUAGAGGGGGGUAGAAUUCCUGGUGUAGCGGUGAAAUGCGUAGAUAUCAGGAGGAAUACCAGUGGCGAAGGCGGCCCCCUGGACUGAGACUGACGCUGAGGUGCGAAAGCGUGGGGAGCAAACAGGAUUAGAAACCCCAGUAGUCC
This 274-nucleotide ribosomal RNA is filed under the name uncultured bacterium. RNAcentral's name for it is "partial 16S ribosomal RNA". It matches the Rfam family "Bacterial small subunit ribosomal RNA", at positions 523 to 796 of the family's 1533-position model. The record is from RNAcentral.